Oxyura jamaicensis (ruddy duck) is the source of this 617-nucleotide long non-coding RNA. RefSeq lists it as uncharacterized. Lineage: Eukaryota; Metazoa; Chordata; Aves; Anseriformes; Anatidae. The transcript has 3 exons. The record is from RefSeq and is a predicted model, not a curated record.
CAUGCUGGAGGCCUGCGGUGGCCAAACGCGCCAGGCAGACGGCUGCAAGUCGCACGGGCCCGCGCUUCAGCUGCAUUGAAUCGACAGAGCUCCUCGAUGUGGUAAGGUGCUCCUGCUCAGCCUCGGGGGAAGAUGCUCCUUCCUCGGACUGGUGGACGAGGAUGCAGUUGGGGUCAAUACAAGCAACUUCAGAGGAAGUCACUGCUUGAUUAUAAGACUACGUCUUUGGACUGCAGAGGACAGAGUGUGCGAGGAAAACGAGCACUUCUGGGCCAUCCACAAGCAGCGGACACCCUCUGAAUAUCGUAUGGGGUAUCUACCCAACGGUGUUUGGUUCCUUUACUUUGGAAAUUGAAGCACAUCCCUUUACCGAAAGGGACUGCGUUGUUCGGAGACCUGGCUGGGACAAGCCACCCGCAUGCGCUUUGUGUCACGCAGAGAGCCCAGGAGGGUGGGUCCAAACCUUCCUGGAGCACAAAGGGGCUGAGAAGAGGACGGAUCGACCGGCAUGCUGCCUGUGCGGCACCACCAGGAACAAUCCAAUCCUCCAGCUGACCCCUUUACGUUCUCGCAUUGCUGCUAUUAGUGACAGCUAACAGAGCUCACACGUGCACGCA